CCCUCUGCUCAGGACGAACGCUGGCGGCGUGCCUAAUACAUGCAAGUCGAACGAACUCUGGUAUUGAUUGGUGCUUGCAUCAUGAUUUACAUUUGAGUGAGUGGCGAACUGGUGAGUAACACGUGGGAAACCUGCCCAGAAGCGGGGGAUAACACCUGGAAACAGAUGCUAAUACCGCAUAACAACUUGGACCGCAUGGUCCGAGUUUGAAAGAUGGCUUCGGCUAUCACUUUUGGAUGGUCCCGCGGCGUAUUAGCUAGAUGGUGGGGUAACGGCUCACCAUGGCAAUGAUACGUAGCCGACCUGAGAGGGUAAUCGGCCACAUUGGGACUGAGACACGGCCCAAACUCCUACGGGAGGCAGCAGUAGGGAAUCUUCCACAAUGGACGAAAGUCUGAUGGAGCAACGCCGCGUGAGUGAAGAAGGGUUUCGGCUCGUAAAACUCUGUUGUUAAAGAAGAACAUAUCUGAGAGUAACUGUUCAGGUAUUGACGGUAUUUAACCAGAAAGCCACGGCUAACUACGUGCCAGCAGCCGCGGUAAUACGUAGGUGGCAAGCGUUGUCCGGAUUUAUUGGGCGUAAAGCGAGCGCAGGCGGUUUUUUAAGUCUGAUGUGAAAGCCUUCGGCUCAACCGAAGAAGUGCAUCGGAAACUGGGAAACUUGAGUGCAGAAGAGGACAGUGGAACUCCAUGUGUAGCGGUGAAAUGCGUAGAUAUAUGGAAGAACACCAGUGGCGAAGGCGGCUGUCUGGUCUGUAACUGACGCUGAGGCUCGAAAGUAUGGGUAGCAAACAGGAUUAGAUACCCUGGUAGUCCAUACCGUAAACGAUGAAUGCUAAGUGUUGGAGGGUUUCCGCCCUUCAGUGCUGCAGCUAACGCAUUAAGCAUUCCGCCUGGGGAGUACGGCCGCAAGGCUGAAACUCAAAGGAAUUGACGGGGGCCCGCACAAGCGGUGGAGCAUGUGGUUUAAUUCGAAGCUACGCGAAGAACCUUACCAGGUCUUGACAUACUAUGCAAAUCUAAGAGAUUAGACGUUCCCUUCGGGGACAUGGAUACAGGUGGUGCAUGGUUGUCGUCAGCUCGUGUCGUGAGAUGUUGGGUUAAGUCCCGCAACGAGCGCAACCCUUAUUAUCAGUUGCCAGCAUUAAGUUGGGCACUCUGGUGAGACUGCCGGUGACAAACCGGAGGAAGGUGGGGAUGACGUCAAAUCAUCAUGCCCCUUAUGACCUGGGCUACACACGUGCUACAAUGGAUGGUACAACGAGUUGCGAACUCGCGAGAGUAAGCUAAUCUCUUAAAGCCAUUCUCAGUUCGGAUUGUAGGCUGCAACUCGCCUACAUGAAGUCGGAAUCGCUAGUAAUCGCGGAUCAGCAUGCCGCGGUGAAUACGUUCCCGGGCCUUGUACACACCGCCCGUCACACCAUGAGAGUUUGUAACACCCAAAGUCGGUGGGGUAACCUUUUAGGAACCAGCCGCCUAAGGUGGGACAGAUGAUUAGGGUGAAGUC
This 1506-nucleotide ribosomal RNA is filed under the name Lactiplantibacillus plantarum. Its description in RNAcentral is "bacterial SSU rRNA". It matches the Rfam family "Bacterial small subunit ribosomal RNA". Lineage: Bacteria; Bacillati; Bacillota; Bacilli; Lactobacillales; Lactobacillaceae. The record is from RNAcentral.